CGGACGGGUGAGUAACGCGUGAGGAACCUGCCUCAAAGAGGGGGACAACAGUUGGAAACGACUGCUAAUACCGCAUAAGCCCACGGGUCGGCAUCGACCUGAGGGAAAAGGAGCAAUCCGCUUUGAGAUGGCCUCGCGUCCGAUUAGCUAGUUGGUGAGGUAAUGGCCCACCAAGGCGACGAUCGGUAGCCGGACUGAGAGGUUGAACGGCCACAUUGGGACUGAGACACGACCCAG
This 237-nucleotide ribosomal RNA is filed under the name uncultured bacterium. RNAcentral's name for it is "partial 16S ribosomal RNA". It matches the Rfam family "Bacterial small subunit ribosomal RNA", at positions 99 to 334 of the family's 1533-position model. The record is from RNAcentral.